UGUUUUUGGUGGUUUGAAUGAUAAAUGGAGCCUGGAGGCAAGGGGUAGAGACUGGGUUGGGUGUGGCUGAUAAUCCUCAGGCUGGCUAGCACAUGUUCUAAUUGUGCUCUGUGACAAGCUGGACAUAUGUUAUGCAGCAAGGACCCUUGGUGUUUACGGGCAAUGGAAAGAAUUAAAGGCACCAAAAACCACCUGUAUAAUCAGAGAUUAAAUGGUCUCAACUUUUUCAAUUUAUGGAAGGGAUGAAUAAGACAAGACAUGUUGGAGGUAUAAAACAAUAAAUGAUAGAAUAAAGUUGGCGAUUCCUAGAGCUGAUGUCACUGCUGAGCAGUUGUAUUGGAACAGUGAAAGACAACACCGCCUUCGCUGGCGGUGAGGUUCUCCACUACCUGCUGAAAUCACUCUGAGCUGGGUUAGGUGGCGGAACUUCUGAACAUGACCCCCUGGGAGCAGCAAGUGGUGACGGCAGAGAGACCGUGACAGCUGUGAGCCAGUUGCAGAGGCUGCAGUAGAGGAUUUGGUAGAUGCCCUCCUGGAGGUGGGAAAUGAACCCCUGUGAACAAACCUCUGAGCUCUGGGUCUUUGCUAACCAAGGACAGCCACUUGUGAGUGGGGUGCAAUGGAGGGAGAGGGGAAUGAUGUAUUAAGGGGCAUUUGUUCAUUGGACUUUUCCACUGCAUGAUUGGAAACUGAGGCGAAGGUCACUGCCCAAUGCACUAUGGAGUCGGGAUUUGCUCAUGGUCCCAUGCUUUUGAAUGUGGUUGUGGUGUUCUCCCAUGUUAAUGCUUGGUUCUCUUUCCCUUUUAAUAAAAAAAUGUCUUUUUUGUUGUA
Molecule: long non-coding RNA, 831 nt
Organism: Mauremys reevesii (Reeves's turtle)
Lineage: Eukaryota; Metazoa; Chordata; Testudines; Geoemydidae
Exons: 3
Source: RefSeq, a predicted model, not a curated record